RNAcentral lists this ribosomal RNA (492 nucleotides) under uncultured bacterium. Its description in RNAcentral is "partial 16S ribosomal RNA". It matches the Rfam family "Bacterial small subunit ribosomal RNA", at positions 29 to 507 of the family's 1533-position model. The record is from RNAcentral.
AGUGAACGCUGGCGGUAGGCCUAACACAUGCAAGUCGAGCGGACGGACGGUAAGAGUGUGCUCUUGCGGGUGGCGACUGACGGGUGAGUGAGACAUACAUAACAAUCUAAUUUUUCGUGGGUGAUAUCGUAGAGCAACUUACGCUACUAGAGCAUACGACGUACGGGUGAAAGCAAGGGUUCUUCGCACCUUGCGCGAUUGAAUGAGACGAUGUCGGAUUAGCUAGUUGGUAAGGUAAAGGCUUACCAAGGCAACGAUCCAUAGCCGACCUGAGAGGAUGAUCGGCCACACUGGAACUGAGACACGGUCCAGACUCCUACGGGAGGCAGCAGUAGGGAAUCUUCCGCAAUGGGCGAAAGCCUGACGGAGCAACGCCGCGUGAGUGAUGAAGGUCUUCGGAUCGUAAAACUCUGUUAUUAGGGAAGAACAUAUGUGUAAGUAACUGUGCACAUCUUGACGGUACCUAAUCAGAAAGCCACGGCUAACUACGUG